CAUGUCUAAGUACAAGCGAAAAUAAAGUGAAACCGCAAAAGGCUCAUUAUAUCAGUUAUGGUUCAUUAGAUCGUAUCCACAAUUACUUGGAUAACUGUGGUAAUUCUAGAGCUAAUACAUGCAAUUAAAGAGAAACCAGUAAAAUGGGAUCUCUGCUUUUAUUAGAUUUAAACCAAUGGGGAUUGCUUCGGCUUUCUCAAACCAAAUGGUUGAACUCUGGAUAAUUUGUUGAUCGCAUGGUCUUGUACCGGCGACAGAUCUUUCAAAUGUCUGCCCUAUCAACUAUUGAAGGUAGUGUCUUGGACUACCUUGGUUGCAACGGGUAACGGGGAAUCAGGGUUCGAUUCCGGAGAGGGAGCCUGAGAAACGGCUACCACAUCUAAGGAAGGCAGCAGGCGCGUAAAUUACCCACUCCCGGCACGGGGAGGUAGUGACGAAAAAUAACAAUACAAGACUCACAUCCGAGGCCUUGUAAUUGGAAUGAGUACACUUUAAAUCCUUUAACGAGGAUCAAUUGGAGGGCAAGUCUAGUGCCAGCAGCCGCGGUAAUUCUAGCUCCAAUAGCGUAUAUUAAAGUUGUUGCGGUUAAAACGUUCGUAGUUGAACUUGUGUUUCGCACGGGCAGCACCUAGGACUAGGUAACUAGGACGGUGUUUUGUCUUAUCUUUCCUCUACCCUUUAUAGGGUUUUGGAAAAAGUGCGUGAACGUAUUAUCGGCGUGUUCACUUCUAUUUUAUAGAUGUGUUCACAUAAGCCCAUUUCAGUCCUCUUCACCGAGUGUUGUUGUGGGCCGAUACAAAUUACUUUGAACAAAUUAGAGUGCUUAAAGCAGGCUUGUAAUGCCUGAAUAUUUGUGCAUGGAAUAAUGAAAUAGGACAUCUGUUCUACUUUCAUUGGUUUUUUAGACCAAGAUGUAAUGAUUAAUGGAAGCAGUUGGGGGCAUUAGUAUUACAACGCGAGAGGUGAAAUUCUUAGACCGUUGUAAGACUGACUAAAGCGAAAGCAUUUGCCAAAGAUGUUUUCAUUUAAUCAAGAACGAAAGU
This 1043-nucleotide ribosomal RNA is filed under the name Xenoplatyura sp. 1 NB-2020. RNAcentral's name for it is "bacterial SSU rRNA". It matches the Rfam family "Eukaryotic small subunit ribosomal RNA", at positions 54 to 990 of the family's 1831-position model. RNAcentral also lists the same sequence under 1 other name. The record is from RNAcentral. Lineage: Eukaryota; Metazoa; Arthropoda; Insecta; Diptera; Keroplatidae.